This 681-nucleotide ribosomal RNA is filed under the name uncultured Lactobacillus sp. RNAcentral's name for it is "bacterial SSU rRNA". It matches the Rfam family "Bacterial small subunit ribosomal RNA", at positions 28 to 683 of the family's 1533-position model. Lineage: Bacteria; Bacillati; Bacillota; Bacilli; Lactobacillales; Lactobacillaceae. The record is from RNAcentral.
GACGAACGCUGGCGGCGUGCCUAAUACAUGCAAGUCGAACGAGACUUUUUAUUUGAUGCUUGCAUCUUUUAAAAAGUUGAGUGGCGAACGGGUGAGUAACACGUGGGUAACCUGCCUUAAAGUGGGGGAUAACACUUGGAAACAGGUGCUAAUACCGCAUAACCAUCAAAACCACCUGGUUUUGAUGUUAAAGAUGGUUCUGCUAUCGCUUUAAGAUGGACCCGCGGCGUAUUAGCUAGUUGGUGAGGUAACGGCUUACCAAGGCAAUGAUACGUAGCCGAACUGAGAGGUUGAUCGGCCACAUUGGGACUGAGACACGGCCCAAACUCCUACGGGAGGCAGCAGUAGGGAAUCUUCCACAAUGGACGAAAGUCUGAUGGAGCAACGCCGCGUGAGUGAAGAAGGUUUUCGGAUCGUAAAACUCCGUUGUCAGAGAAGGACGUGUGUGAGAGUAACUGUUCACGCAGUGACGGUAUCUGACCAGAAAGUCACGGCUAACUACGUGCCAGCAGCCGCGGUAAUACGUAGGUGGCAAGCGUUGUCCGGAUUUAUUGGGCGUAAAGGGAACGCAGGCGGUCUUUUAAGUCUGAUGUGAAAGCCUUCGGCUUAACCGAAGUCGGGCAUUGGAAACUGGGAGACUUGAGUGCAGAAGAGGAGAGUGGAACUCCAUGUGUAGCGGUG